RNAcentral lists this ribosomal RNA (463 nucleotides) under uncultured Desulfobulbus sp. Its description in RNAcentral is "bacterial SSU rRNA". It matches the Rfam family "Bacterial small subunit ribosomal RNA", at positions 925 to 1382 of the family's 1533-position model. Lineage: Bacteria; Pseudomonadati; Thermodesulfobacteriota; Desulfobulbia; Desulfobulbales; Desulfobulbaceae. The record is from RNAcentral.
ACAAGCGGUGGAGUAUGUGGUUUAAUUCGAUGCAACGCGAAGAACCUUACCUGGUCUUGACAUCCCAGAAAUCCCUUGGAAACUUGGGAGUGCUUCCAUUAGGAAGAAUCUGGAGACAGGUGCUGCAUGGCUGUCGUCAGCUCGUGUCGUGAGAUGUUGGGUUAAGUCCCGCAACGAGCGCAACCCUUGCCUUUAGUUGCCAGCAGUUCGGCUGGGCACUCUAAAGGGACUGCCGGUGUUAAACCGGAGGAAGGUGGGGAUGACGUCAAGUCCUCAUGGCCUUUAUGACCAGGGCUACACACGUACUACAAUGGCCGAUACAAAGGGCAGCGACAUCGCGAGGUGAAGCCAAUCCCAUAAAAUCGGUCUCAGUCCGGAUUGGAGUCUGCAACUCGACUCCAUGAAGUUGGAAUCGCUAGUAAUCGUGGAUCAGCAUGCCACGGUGAAUACGUUCCCGGGCCUU